GAAGUGGUGGGAGAAAGAGUGAAACAGACUGCCAGAGGAAGAGGAAGAGAGAGGGAAGUGGUGGGAGAAAGAGUGAAACACAGACUGCCAGAGGAAGAGGAAGAGAGAGGGAAGUGGUGGGAGAAAGAGUGAAACACAGACUGCCAGAGGAAGAGGAAGAGAGAGGGAAGUGGUGGGAGAAAGAGUGAAACACAGACUGCCAGAGGAAGAGGAAGAGAGAGGGAAGUGGUGAAACACAGACUGCCAGAGGAAGAGAGUGAAAAAGACUGCCAGAGGAAGAGGAAGAGAAACAGACUGCCAGAGGAAGAGAGUGAAACAGACUGCCAGAGGAAGAGGAAGAGAGAGGGAAGUGGUGAGAGAAAGAGUGAAACAGACUGCCAGAGGAAGAGAGUGAAACAGACUGGAAGAGGAAGAGAGUGAAACAGACUGCCAGAGGAAGAGGGAGGAAAAAACAGACUGCCAGAGGAAGAGGAAGAGAGA
Oncorhynchus tshawytscha (Chinook salmon) is the source of this 480-nucleotide long non-coding RNA. The record is from Ensembl. Lineage: Eukaryota; Metazoa; Chordata; Actinopteri; Salmoniformes; Salmonidae.